This is a long non-coding RNA of Nasonia vitripennis (jewel wasp), 4700 nucleotides long. RefSeq lists it as uncharacterized. The transcript is spliced from 6 exons. The record is from RefSeq and is a predicted model, not a curated record. NCBI's taxonomy places the organism in Eukaryota, Metazoa, Arthropoda, Insecta, Hymenoptera, Pteromalidae.
CGAUGACGAGGUCUAGGUGGUGCGCUUCGUGGUUUUUGGUGUCCACACUGAGAGAAAAGAAUCCUUGCCACAAAGAAUUUGCGACUUAACCGUACCUUUCAUUUUGCUUAUAUGAUACAAAUUUCUUCUUUAUUAGAGACUAAAUUCUUAAUAAUUAAGAAGCAGACCGAGGAAACGUUUACGAGCGAUCGUAGCACACCGUCGAUAAAAAGUUACCGGCCGAGUGGCGAGCUCCACUUCAAGCUCUGCGGUUACGGUAUAUACGUCUCGGCAUAGCGCAUGCAGUCGGCCGAUUUCGGGAGUAUUGCGUCUCACGCAAUCAAGAUUUUUGAAAGAAGUAUCCGAGUGUGACAAAUUUUUUAAAGAAGUGUGAAGACAGAAGUAUCUCUUUGUUGGGGAGGCAGCAGGCUGACGUUGUUUUAUCGCAAACGACAGAACGCGAGAGAGAAUAUGCCGGAGUCGGCGUCCACCGUUGCAUUUGGCGCGUGCUCUCUUUUUCUCAUUGCCACAAAGAAGUACCUUUGCAGAAAUGAACAUCAUACUUAAGUCAUGGGGCUUUCCGAACUUAGUAGAUGUUUUUAAACGUAAGUUGCUCUAUACUACUAUUUUUCUGCUGAUUUUCUGCAUGCAAAAAAGUGAGGUUAGGUGAGGCGAUUGCUAGAGAGAUUCGACCCGACGAAAGCGACGCGGGGAAUUCGGUUUCGGUGCCGGCCAAGUGAAACGAAAAAUACACGCGUUUUUUUUAAUGAACUUGCUGGCCCAGAAAAAAAAUACACUGACCAACAUGCAUCGCGCGCGCGUCCUUAGACGUGCUGCACGGCGAUUCCUAUUACUACCGCCGUACACUUUUCGUGCUUGUUCAUCGUGUCCGAGCGUUACUAUUUACAAUUUUGCUGUUAGGAUUCGUUAAGAAUGUCAGAUCACGCGCUCGAGAUUAGACGUAUCGCUCGGGGUUAGGUUUACAGUUUUCUGCUGAAUGUUAACCCAUCGUUGUAUGUUAUUUUAUCCAGAGAAUGAUACUAACUAUAGAUGUUCUGUAUGCUUUGAUGGAUGAUCCCGACGAACUCAAAAAUGUUAUUCCAAGUGUUUGUGUGCGUAUAUUGCUUAAAAGAAAAUUACGUGAACAUGUAUGUUUGUUUCUUGGCUUAUUAAAUAAAUUCUUUUCUUCAAAAUUUGUAUGUGAAUUACAUUAUCAACCAGUGUCACAUUACUAAUCUACUUUUUUAUUAAUUCAGAUUGAAGUCAAUGAACAGAUAAAAUUUGAACAUUCGGCAACUGAAAACUCGUUAUCUGAGGACCCGUUGAAAGAAGAAGAAUCGCAAGGUCUUGAAACUGCAGAAGAAAUUGAAGCAAAUGACGAAGAUACAAUCGAGGUAGAAUACGUUGAACAUCAAACAACUCUUGAUGGAGAGCCAGCUUGUAAAAAGCAACGAAUAUCAACUGCAGUCAACGACUUAGAUCACAAAGCUCUGCUGGAAGACCAUGCUCCUGAGCCAUCGAUAUUAAGGGUAUAUGAAGCAAAAAAAGAGCUUUGAUCUGCUUCUCAAUCGUACUUAGUAGAAAUUAUUACUCUUCACUUUUUAAGAGACAACAAUUUGUAAGUAUAAAAGAAGAAUGUCUGCAAACUUAUUAUGUAGGCUUUGUGAAAAAAAUGAAUCCAGACGAAACAAGCAUGAGCGAUCCAAGGGGAAAUUGGUUGAUAAAUACAGAAACCGACGUACAUACAUCCUGGAAUCACAUAAACAUUCAACUUAAUGUCAGUCAACCGCAAAACGAGUGCCAGUUACAAAUAAUUUAGAUAUACAAAGUGCCCUUUAAAGCAAAGAAUGGCUUAUUAUAAAUAGAGAGAAGAGGGAAGUUCUAAAACAUUGGGAGUUCACAUUCAAUUUGCGCCAGACCGAUGCCAAGAAUCAAGAAUAUCAAACUGUAGCUGAUAUUUAUAAGAAAUGGCCAAAUUUAAAAGAAUCUUAUGGUUUUGAACUUAUAGAAAAGGAUUUUUUACAAACCUAUUUAAAACCUUUUGAGAAUAUAUGUAAUUGAUGGAAUGAUGUCUUUUCUCAUGCAGCUGCUAUCUUAAAAGAUAAGCUAACAAAAGACGAAAGACUUAUUUUAGACUCGUUAAAAGAGCUUGAUUGUGAAUCUAUGACGGAUUACGACACACUUAUGCACGUUAAGUUAUUGAACUCCUUCGAAGCACCAAAAGCCACAAAAAUUUCCUAUAAAAAUUCUGGAAAAAAGUCUGUGGAAAUCCUCUAAAGCAGAAUCAGAAGAAGGUAUUAUUAUUCAUGUAAAGAUUCCUGGCGAUAUUGAAAAUGAAGUCAACAAGAAGAGGAAUGAGAUGGUUAAUAAGAAGCUGUCUCUUCAGCCAUUUAUAAUUCUCGUUGGCGUAAAUUUAAAACAUAUAGAUCAAUUUUUCGUGCGUGUUGAUACGGUGACGUAUGAGUUGCCUUCACUUGCAAAAGCAGUCGACAUUUUAUUUAAACUGUAUAUAUUUUUCAAUAUCUCAUACCAUGUAGAAUGUGAAAAUUUAUUUUAUUUGAUUCAAUGGGCCGUAUAUGAUAUUAUAACUGAGUCAGACGUUAAAAUACCUUCUGUGUGUACAUUGGUGCAUAAAGUUAAAAAGCGUUUAGUAGAAGCUGCGGAAAACUAAUCAAAAUGCAUUGUCCUAUCUGUACUUCGCAAAUAUUUAAUGAUGUCAACGUUUUUUUGCGACAUUUGAAAAUUUACUAUCCGCAUCUUAGUAAUCAUAAAUGCGUGUAUAGUACAUGUUUUCGUACAUUUAGGACAAUUUUAACACUAAGAAAGCAUAUUAGUAAUUGUGAUCAAAAAGAUACGAAAAUACGUUCUAGUUAUAAUUAUUUUAAAAACAAGCAACUUGCUAAAAAAAAAAGUUCUUUGCGACUUCGUAGUAAUCCAUCAAUCGUAGGUAAUAGCAGUACUUUAACGAUUUCUACUUUGAAUGCGAAUAAUUUUGAUAAGAAUCUUUUUAAUAUGAUAGGAAAACUGUACACAAACAGCUCAAUAACUAACGCAGUUGUAGACCUAGUUAUGAAAGACGUUAUGGCACUAAGCAGUGAACUUGUAGGUUUACAUAAGAUUAAAUUGAAAGAAAUGAUUACGAUAGAAUAUCACAAUAAAUAGAUCAUUGUUUGCAAAUAUCAAAUAUUUUUGAGAACUCCAACACAGAAUACAGGCGUUUUCGUUACCUACAAAACGCGGGCUUUUUAAUCGAGCCAAAAGCAGUACUAAUUGGUGAGAUAAAUGAUAAUAAGAAAAGUCGUGAUACCACGCUUUAUACCAAAAAAAUGUACAGCAUCUUUAAUUUCAUUGCGCAAAGUGCUAACUAUGUUCCUACAAUUACCUAAUGUGUUCAACGAAAUCAUGAAUUUUAUUAAAUGUGAACUUGCUCAAGCUUAACACGUAUAUUCCAGCGUUUAUAAUGGCAAAUAUUGGCGAAAAAUGUCUAAGAAUUUUGGUGAGAAAACUGUAAUAGGAUUGUUCUUAUACAACGAUGACUUCUAAAUAUGUGAUCUUCUCUCGACGUCAAGAAUUGUUUAUAAAAUCGCAGGUUGUUAUUUUUCAAUUGCAGGUAUACCGCCAAAAUUAGCAUCGAUGUUAGAAAAUGUAUUUUUAGCGCAGUUUAAUUUGACUGCUGACCAAAAAGAGCUUAAAAAUGCAAGAUGCUUUAAAGAUCUUAUUGCUGAACUAAAUUCAUUAUUUGACGAACUUGUAACAAUUUGUGUUGAUAAAAAAAGUAUCAAAAUACAUUUUGUUGUUGUAGCGAUAAUUGGCGAUAAUUUACGAGUAAACAAUUUGUUCGGUUUUAAUCAAAGCUUUGUAGCUUGCUAUUAUUGUAGGUUUUGUAAAUGUGAUAAAUUUGAAGCAAAAGUACUCUGCACAGUUAAUAAAAAUAAGAUAAGAAGUACUACUAACUAUACUGAAGAUUUAGAGCAACGAACAAACGGAGUUAAAAGUGGAUGCGUUUUUAAUCAGUUGUACUUUUUUCAUAACGUUACGAAACUUACGUAUGACUUGAUGCAUGACUUUUCUUUAGGGGUAUGUAGAUAUGAUAUGUCAAUGAUUAUUCAUUCUUUUAUACAAAAAGAAUAUUUUGAUAUCGUACAGCUUAAUGACAGAUUGAAAUAUUUUGAUACCUACGUGUGAAAAGUAUGAAGGCUUUCACAAGAAAGCUAAACAGUGUGCUCGUGUUGUGACUUCAAGAAUUAACAUCAUUCAUACUUUAUCAACAGAAUUGCAGCUUGAAUCAGCUUAUCUUUUUUACAUAAAUAAGGGGUUUAAAAAUAUAAUUAAGUUUGGUGCUCUCAAAAAAAAGGUGACUAAAAAUGUAGAUAACGAAGUUAAUUUUGUAAAAAUUAAUGGAGCUCUGUAUCGACCAAACUAUGCAAUAUUUUUGUACAACGAUGAGUCUGACAAUCCCGUAAUUGGUUUGAUCGAAAAAAUCGUAAAAACUACUGAAAAUAAAAUAUUUUUUAUGUACAAAGAUUGUCAGACGAUUGGUUUUAUAAAUAGUAUGAAAUGUUACAUUAUACAGUUACCAUCUAAAAUGCAGAAAGAAAAGUGGUUUUUGUAUAAUUUAAAUUAUUAUAUGUGACCUAUAAAAAUUCAUGUAACAUCCGAAGGAAAAUAUGUAGUAUCUUGAAGAGAUUUAUUAUGUUGAAAUAAAUAGAUUUUCAAAGUAA